CUAUCUGGUAGCGCCUUUAGAAAUCGCCGCUAAAUAGGCGAGAUUUGUCAUUGGAUUCCGUGUUAUCAAUUUACAAUUAAUAAUUUAUUGUUGAGUUAUAAAAACUUAUUUUUUUAUAUUUAGUGAUUCAGAGCAUCUACGCGGAACGCUUAAAAUGCUUCAAAACGUGAUUGACUUCUGCAAUUACUGGUGGUUCCGAUAUCUUAUGGUCACAGAGCUAUAUAUGGUCGAAAAAUGGGAACGAGUUACAAUUCAUGUGAUUUUUGCAAUACUCUUUUGCCUGUUUUGGUACUUUAACUAUUCAGUGCUUUUAUCGUUUACGGGUAGUGUACUAGGUAUCACUCCUAUCUCCAGCGUUGUGGACCAACACGGUAGCAAAAUUGUGUAACUAUAGCAAUUCCAUGAUUGGAGGCAACUGCUGGCAAUCACUGACGGAAAAAUAGCGCAUAUACAUACAUACCUAGGCACAGAAAAAUAAUUUAACUCGUAGUCAAGAAAUCACUUCUUUAUCAGAAUACUGCAUUCAAAAGGUUCGACAUAUAACGAAUGAGAAUCCCGUAUCCUACCAGUGACGCCAAGCCAGUAGGCCGCUUUCAUUGUCAUAGAAAGGGA
Long non-coding RNA from Rhagoletis pomonella (apple maggot), 612 nucleotides. RefSeq lists it as uncharacterized. The transcript is spliced from 2 exons. The record is from RefSeq and is a predicted model, not a curated record. NCBI's taxonomy places the organism in Eukaryota, Metazoa, Arthropoda, Insecta, Diptera, Tephritidae.